RNAcentral lists this transfer RNA (77 nucleotides) under Enterococcus faecalis. RNAcentral describes it as "tRNA-Met". It matches the Rfam family "tRNA". From Rfam's summary of the family: Transfer RNA (tRNA) molecules are approximately 80 nucleotides in length. RNAcentral also lists the same sequence under 8 other names. The record is from RNAcentral. Lineage: Bacteria; Bacillati; Bacillota; Bacilli; Lactobacillales; Enterococcaceae.
CGCGGGGUAGAGCAGUCUGGUAGCUCGUCGGGCUCAUAACCCGGAGGUCGCAGGUUCGAAUCCUGUCCCCGCUACCA